AAUCAACGCUGGCGGCGUGCCUCAGACAUGCAAGUCGAACGAUUAAAGCUCUCUUCGGAGAGUGUAUAGAGUGGCGCACGGGUGAGUAACACGUAAGUAAUCUACCUUUGAGUGGGGAAUAACAAUCGGAAACGAUUGCUAAUACCGCAUAAUGCAGCGGCAUCGCAAGAUGACAGUUGUUAAAGGAGCAAUCCGCUUAAAGAGGAGCUUGCGGCAGAUUAGCUAGUUGGUAAGGUAAUGGCUUACCAAGGCUACGAUCUGUAACCGGUCUAAGAGGACGGUCGGUCACACUGACACUGAAUAACGGGUCAGACUCCUACGGGAGGCAGCAGUCGGGAAUUUUGGGCAAUGGGCGAAAGCCUGACCCAGCAACGCCGCGUGAAGGAUGAAGUAUUUCGGUAUGUAAACUUCGAAAGAAUGGGAAGAAUCAAUGACGGUACCAUUAUAAGGUCCGGCUAACUACGUGCCAGCAGCCGCAGUAAC
Molecule: ribosomal RNA, 483 nt
Filed under: uncultured bacterium
Lineage: Bacteria
Description: bacterial SSU rRNA
Rfam family: Bacterial small subunit ribosomal RNA
Source: RNAcentral